AUUGAACGCUGGCGGCAGGCCUAACACAUGCAAGUCGAGCGGCUCGGCGGUCGGGUGCGUAAUGCCUAGGUAUCUGCCUGUUCGUGGUGGAUGACGUCCGGUACCGGGCGCUAUUACCGCUUCCUCUCAGCUUAGCCUAGGUCGGCUUGGCUAGUUGUUGGGGUAAGGGCCUACAAGGGCGACGAUCCUUAACCGGUCUGAGUGUAUGAUCAGUCACACGGGAACUGAGACACGGUCCAGACUCCUACGGGAGGCAGAAGUGGGGAAUAUUGGACAAUGGGCGAAAGCCGGACCAAGACAUGCCGCGUGUGUGAAGAAGGUCUUCGGAUUGUAAAGCACUUUAAGUUGGGAGGCGUUACCAACAGAAUAAGCACCGGCUAACUCCGUGCCAGCAGCCGCGGUAAUAC
This 407-nucleotide ribosomal RNA is filed under the name uncultured bacterium. RNAcentral describes it as "partial 16S ribosomal RNA". It matches the Rfam family "Bacterial small subunit ribosomal RNA", at positions 30 to 526 of the family's 1533-position model. The record is from RNAcentral.